Molecule: long non-coding RNA, 396 nt
Organism: Oreochromis aureus
Lineage: Eukaryota; Metazoa; Chordata; Actinopteri; Cichliformes; Cichlidae
Source: Ensembl
AACAGGCUCUUCCACGGCAAUCUCUUGUCGUCAGUAAGCAACGUUUAGGGAGCUCUAUAGUAUUCAAUGAGAGGACCCUGCACGUCAAUUCUCGACGCGAGGGGGGUACCCUGCGCGUCGAUAAGUGAAGCAGAGGGAGCCUGACCAUGCGUCACACGUUUGACGAGUUGGGAGUGAGAACGUGUUGGCUUUGAACGCGACAGACCAGACUGCCUUCCUGGCUAUGAGGUUAAAAUAAGCAGUGGAAGAACAUUUUUCCUCAGACCAAACACCGAGUGGCUUAAAAGGAAAAUAAAUGAGAGAACUCUGCUGUGUCCUCCAAUGUUUUCAGCUUAAAUAACUGAAGCUAUUCAUCUUUAAUGAGUCCUCCCACUAUAGUUUGUAUAUUCCAGCUGC